RNAcentral lists this transfer RNA (90 nucleotides) under Pyrenophora teres f. teres. Its description in RNAcentral is "tRNA-Ile". It matches the Rfam family "tRNA". From Rfam's summary of the family: Transfer RNA (tRNA) molecules are approximately 80 nucleotides in length. Lineage: Eukaryota; Fungi; Ascomycota; Dothideomycetes; Pleosporales; Pleosporaceae. RNAcentral also lists the same sequence under 2 other names. The record is from RNAcentral.
GGUCGCUUAGCUCAGUUGGUUAGAGCGUGGUGCUAAUACCCUAUAUGGUACGCGACGCCAAGGUCGCGAGUUCGACCCUCGUAGUGACCA